CAGCAACCAGCCAUCUCCAUUAUGGCAUCGCGUCACCUCAAAGAAUAGUUAACAACAAGCAGAGAUGCUCCAUAAAUCAAUGCAAUGCAGUUCAGACAAUCUCACCUUCAAUUCCGGAUUUUGAAUCCAAAAAUCGUCAAUUCAAUCGGCAAGAGAUCCUCCCUACUCGAAGAACAUCUCUGAAAACGAAUUAGAGCCAAUCAGGCGGCUGGCAUUGCAUGAUUUGAGCUUAUGGCGGGAUGAUUUGGUCAAAAAAAGGGUCCCACUUUCUUCCCAGUAACCAAUAAACGGGACCGUUUAAGGAAAACGAGAUUCAACAAGCAACAUGUCGUUUGUAACAAAAGGUAUGUAUGUAUGUAUCUCCCCAUUCGACUAGCUGAAAAUCUCUCCUCCUCCUCUCAAUGGUUUAGUAAAGUGGGUUGCCGUACAGAGAGAGAGAGACAGAGAGAGUGAUGAACGACCUGUCCAAUGCAACUUUGAGAGAACAUAACAGCCACAGCUGCAAGCCAAUACCAAGACUAGCAGUCUGCAUUUUACUACUUGUAUUCUUUGUUGGGCUUUCAGUUUCUGUUUUUAUACUCGUUGUGGUCCAUAAUGUUUUCUUCUUUCUUUCUUUUAUCUUGCUCUUUGCUUUAGUUCUUUCCUUUUUAGCUUGGAAUAAGCUUAAUUGGAGACGUAAAGCUGCUGUCUUUUGGUGUCUUCGUUCUUUUCCUGAUUCUGACCUUGCUGCUGCUACUGAAGGACAGCUUGUUAAAAUUACUGGGCUGGUAUCCUGUGGAAGCGUUUCCCUGGAAUCUUCAUAUGAGAGAGCUGCCAGAUGUACCUACGUAUCUACUCUUUUGUAUGAAUAUGGAGGUUUUGGAGUGAAGCCAAUGAAUGCUAAUACAUCAUGCUUACAGUGGAAUCUAAAAUAUUGCGAGAGGUUCUCCACAGACUUCUACAUAACUGAUCGAAAGUCUGGUAUCAGAGCCAUGGUAAAAGCUGGUUCAGGUUGUAAAGUUGUUCCCUUGAUUGUUGAGAGCAAACUUGUGACUACAAGGCAAUGCAGAACCCUAUCUUCUCACUUGAGGAAAUGGUUGCAAGAAAGAAACCUGUCAGCCGAGGCCCGCCUACUACGAUUGGAAGAAGGGUACGUACAAGAAGGCAGCUUUGUUACCGUGAUUGGUGUUUUGCGUAGAAAUAAUGAUAUUUCGAUGAUUGUUCAGCCACAAGAGCUUUUCUCCACAGGAUGCCUGUGGCAAAAGCUUUUACUCCCUGUGGAUGUUGAUGGGCUAAUCCUGGGGUUCCCAGAUACUGCUGGCCCUAACAUGAACCCAGGUUACACACAACACUCGGAACAAUAAUGUCAAACCUCUCAGAAAAUUAGGAAUAGGUGGUUCUUUUCUGAUCUUCAUGCCUAGCCGCUCCCAGGUCCAAAGAUUCUUGUGCUUACCAUCUAAAAAUGACCCCUCAAAGACCACCAUGAAAUGAUGAAGAUUUAUAGGGAUUGGAAGAAACUUCUUCCGUGGCAGGGCAUGGGUGGCCUGAACUCCCUAUACCGGAUAACAAUAAUUUUCAAUAAUAAUAAAAAAUAAACAGCAUUGAAUAUGGUCACUGGAAAUUCUUAGCAAUUAAAAUUCGUAGAAUUUGCAGUAAACUUCUUGCCCAACAUAGCUCGCAAGCAAGUAGCGUGCAAGCCAAGGUGCUCCGGAGUUCGCUGGAUCAGUGUGAGGGACGAGUGCCCACCUGCAGCUCCCAAGAUCUCGUGAGGAUACCCCCAGUGCCUGCUUGAAUGCUUCUUAGUGUUCCAAGAAAACAAAUGAAGACGAAAUCCUGGUUAAUAAAAAAACGAAACUUGUCAAAAGCAACAGCGUGAACUUCAACUAUAUGCAUCAAACAAAAAUCUUCAGUAACAUUUCUUCUCAAAGGCUAGUUGUAGGAUGGGAGUCUGUCCGUCUUUUCAAGGUAAACGCAGUAAAAAGACAAGUCGUUCUUUGAGAAACCCAAAAUGUUUAAGCGACAAGUCUCUUACUCCACCAGCAAUGACACAUAAAGGAAAACCUGGAGGUGAAAGAAACAACAAUUAAAAUCAAGAGAAGGAAAAUAAUGCAGAGGGUCUCUUCAAAGACAAUCUUCUUCUCUAUCCUUAAAGGGCCGAAUAAUUACAGUGCCUUGCUUCACUCUAACAUCCUUCUCCUCAUACACAGACAACAACUGCACCAAAACCCCAGCAACAACAUAUCAAACAAAACAACCAAUGGGUUUGGUCUUAUUUCUCUUAAAACCCAACAACCACAACCACAACCACACGAACGGGACAACAAAGUCGAUGAAUUUGCAAGCGAUGUCGAGAAGGUAUAUAGAUUACUCAGGAAAUUUCACUCUAGAGUUCCUAAAUUAGAACUUGCUUUACAGGAAUCUGGUGUUGUACUGCGUAAUGGUCUCACUGAACGUGUCUUGAAUCGCUGCGGCGAUGCUGGGAUUUUAGCUUAUAAAUUCUUUGUCUGGGCAUCGAAGCAGCCUUGUUAUAGACAUUGUUAUGAGAAUUAUAAGGCUAUGAUUAAGGUUUUGAGUAAAAUGAAACAAUUUGGUGCUGUUUGGGCUUUGCUAGAGGAAAUGAGAGAUAACAGUGUGUUAAUAACGAGUGAAGUUUUUGUUGUUGUUAUGAGGAGGUUUGCUUCUUCUAGAAUGGUGAACAAGGCAAUUGAAGUUUUAGAUGAGAUGCCAAAGUAUGGAUGUGAACCUGAUGAGUAUGUGUUUGGUUGUUUAUUGGAUGCUUUGUGUAAGAACGGUAGUGUUAAGGAAGCUGCUUCUCUUUUUGAGGAUAUGAGAGUGAGAUUUAGUCCAAGUUUGAAGCAUUUUACAUGUUUGUUGUAUGGUUGGUGUAAGGAAGGGAAGUUAUUGGAGGCUAAACAUGUGUUGGUACAAAUGAGGGAAGCGGGGUUUGAGCCAGAUAUUGUGGUGUAUAACAAUUUGUUAAGUGGGUAUGCAACGGCUGGGAAAAUGGGGGAUGCUUUUGAUUUAUUGAAGGAGAUUAGGAGGAAAGGAUGCGACCCUAAUGCGACUUCUUAUACCAUUUUGAUUCAGGCACUUUGUGGGCAGGAGAAGAUGGAUGAGGCGAUGAGAGUAUUUGUUGAGAUGGAGAGAAGUGGUUGUGAUGCUGAUGUUGUGACUUAUACUGCUUUGGUAAGUGGCUUUUGCAAGUGGAGGAUGAUAGAUAAGGGAUAUCAGAUUUUGCAAAGCAUGAUACAGAAAGGGCAUAUGCCCAAUCAAUUGACUUAUUUGCAUCUGAUGUUGGCCCAUGAGAAGAAGGAAGAGUUGGAAGAGUGCAAGGAAUUGAUGGGGGAGAUGCAAAAGAUUGGUUGUAUUCCAGAUCUUAGUAUUUAUAAUGUAGUGAUUAGAUUGGCCUGCAAGUUGGGGGAGGUGAAUGCUGGUGUUGAUGCUUGGAAUGAAAUGGAAGUAAGUGGCCUUAGUCCAGGACUUGAUACUUUUGUUAUUAUGAUUAAUGGGUUUCUAGGGCAUGGAUACCUGGUCGAGGCUUGUCAGUAUUUCAAAGAAAUGGUUGAGAGAGGUCUUUUGUCUAGUCGUCAAUAUGGCAUACUGAAGGAUUUAUUGAAUGCCUUGCUGCGAGGUGAGAAGCUUGAAUUGGCUAAAGAUCUUUGGAGUUGCAUUGUGACUAAAGGAUGUGAGCUUAAUGUGGAUUCAUGGACAAUUUGGAUUCAUGCACUGUUCUCAAAUGGGCAUGUGAAGGAAGCAUGUUCAUAUUGUCUGGACAUGAUGGAUGCUGAUUUAAUGCCAAAACCAGAAACUUUUGCUAAGCUCAUGCGUGGUUUAAGGAAAUUGUAUAACAGACAGUUUGCAGCCGAGAUCACAGAGAAGGUGAGGAAGAUGGCUGCGGAUAGACAUGUGACUUUCAAAAUGUAUAAACGACGAGGGGAGAGGGAUUUGAUAGAAAAGGCCAAGGCGAAAAAGGAUGGGAGAAAAAGAAGGGCCCGCAGACGCCAGUGGGGUGGGGGUCAUAAUAGAGCUAGCAUUUUGUAGUUUUUGUGUUGGACUGUUAUCAAGCGACUGAAUUGUUUUAUUGGAUUGCUUUCGAGUCUGUGUGCUUGCUUGCCCUGGUGUGACAUGGAGCUGCUUCAAUCUUUAAACAUGCGAAUGGAACAAGGGCUCUAAUAUGCUGCUCCAGGAAAGGUGACAGUUGAGAACACUCCAGACUAAGACUGGUGAAGAAUAUCAAUUGUACAUUCAUGCAUCUAAUGUACAUGAUAUUGCUUCUAAAUUAUACAUUCUAUCCUUAUUGCUGUCAUCCAAACCAUUUCGUGUUUGUGACUGACUUCCCCUGCUCAAGUGAUGGAAAAGACGCUAUCAGUAUUACCAAUAUGAUAAUGGUUCUUCAAAUGUUUUUCUUUCUAGUCUUUUUUAUUGUUUUGUAUUCUGGUUAUCUUUACUAUUCUGUUGAAUUCAGUGGUAGUGGCUGUUUAUGCAGCUGUUGCCCGAAAGGCAGAUGAUAUGAUCUCCUCUUUUUUUCCCAAUUCAAUUAUGCUUUUGGUGCGCUUUA
RNA transcript from Populus trichocarpa (black cottonwood), 4537 nucleotides. It is a transcript of the gene named pentatricopeptide repeat-containing protein At3g49730, with no coding region annotated. The transcript has 6 exons. The record is from RefSeq and is a predicted model, not a curated record. Lineage: Eukaryota; Viridiplantae; Streptophyta; Magnoliopsida; Malpighiales; Salicaceae.